ACGAAACCGUCACGCAACCUUCGUGAAACCCUAACACUGACUCCUUUGUCCACCAUUGCCGCCUCCGCGCAAGGUUGUUCCGCUGACCUUCACGAAACCCUAACGCUCACUCCUCUGUCCGCCAUUGCCGCCUCCGUGCAAGGUUGUUCCGCUGAGCUUCACGAAACCCUAAUGCUCACUCCUUUGUCCGCCAUUGCCGCCUCCGCGCAAGGUUGUUUAAGAUUUGUGCUCACACGCCCUAAACCUCUGUCUUGAGAAUCUUUUAUUUGAAAUUGUUAUAGGUUAAAAUCGUCAACAGGUAAAAUCACAUUGUACUUCUCUCUUUGCACUUGCACACCAUGUAUAUGUGAAAAGUGUUUAGCAGAAACAAUAGUUAAACUCAAAGAGUGUGCAUAUGCAAAUGGGUGAUGCAGUCCCAACAUGUAAUAAAGGGCACGCAUAUACCUUUGUAGCUAUAAGUAAGCAUGCACGUUACCAUGGGGGUUUAACCCCACUAGCUUCUUGAUGAAGCCAUAAAUAAUGCUACUACAACGCAUUGGACUUGUACUCUGUCACUCAAUCUUUACAUAACAGGGGCUGUAACUUUUUCUAUUACACUGAAAACACGCACGCUAUGUGCUCCUUCCAGUUAGGUAGUUACCCUUUUUGUCACACCACCCUUCAUACAACAUGCCACUUUAUGCAAGAGGACCACUCUUAAGGUAAAAUCAGAAUAAUAAUAAAAAGACAAAAAGUAACAAUACUCAUCACAGCCAUAGAACGUGUAAAACUUUUUACUACACUAUUUUCUGCAAUUUAGGAUCACUCACAUACUUCUUUCUCAAACUAUUUAACUCAUCUGCAUAUACUCCCAACUUAAGUUAAACUCUUUUCAUUCAUGAAAAUAUAUGAACCCCUUUGUAUAAUAACUUUAGAUUAAUCCAAUGUACUUUCUGACUCAAACUUAAGGAUUGGUUUAUUGAAAUAGUUAGAGAAUCUUGAGAUUGAUCUUUUAUCACGUGCUUCAAAAUAAGAUUAUUUGUCUGACAAAGAUGUUAUUGGUAGCUCUAUGUGAUUUUAAGUCAACAUAUGUGCAUGCAGCAUUAAUAGAGUUGUGAUUCGUUGUGAUAUAAAACUUUUUACAAGGAACCAUGGAUUUUAGCUCCGUAAAGUUUUUAGAGUUGUUAUUGAUUAGAGAGAUGUAUGGUGUUUAAAAUAAUAAAAGUAGUUGAUAAUAUGCAAUGAUUGAACCCAUUUAUGAAUCAAAAGGUAAAAAAAAAAAACUAAUUGCUGUUGAAAUAUAUCCAAGGUCGUUCUAAAUAAGUGAAUGAGAUAGUUGCAGAAGAGAUAGGAAAAAGAAAAACAAAAGAAGUGCAUGAGAUGGUUCACUGCUGCACGUGGUUUGUAGUUCACUAGGGUGAGUGCAGUUGGUUCACUCAAGCACUGGAGCUCAUAGCAUCUUCAGGUGUCAUGUUAACUCACACCAUUUCUUUGUGUUUGAUGAAUUUUUAAAUUAUUAAUGCAGAAUGCUCAAGGAAUUAUAACUCUAGCCUCUACAUACUCCUGCACCUUGUUCCUUAUAGC
This 1563-nucleotide long non-coding RNA is filed under the name Phaseolus vulgaris (common bean). RNAcentral's name for it is "long non-coding RNA (PVUL_LNC004453)". The record is from RNAcentral. Lineage: Eukaryota; Viridiplantae; Streptophyta; Magnoliopsida; Fabales; Fabaceae.